UACGGAGGGGGCAAGCGUUGUUCGGAUUUACUGGGCGUAAAGGGUGUGUAGGCGGUUGCGCAAGUCUGGUGUGAAAUCUUCACCGCUUAACGGGAAGAGGUCACUGGAAACUGCGUAACUCGAGUGUGGUAGAGGCAAGCGGAAUUCCUGGUGUAGCGGUGGAAUGUGUAGAUAUCAGGAAGAACACCUGUGGCGAAGGCGGCUUGCUGGGCCACCACUGACGCUGAGACACGAAAGCGUGGGGAGCAAACGGG
Molecule: ribosomal RNA, 254 nt
Filed under: uncultured bacterium
Lineage: Bacteria
Description: partial 16S ribosomal RNA
Rfam family: Bacterial small subunit ribosomal RNA
Source: RNAcentral